This 315-nucleotide long non-coding RNA is filed under the name Meleagris gallopavo (turkey). RNAcentral describes it as "lncRNA (ENSMGAG00000022697.1)". Lineage: Eukaryota; Metazoa; Chordata; Aves; Galliformes; Phasianidae. The record is from RNAcentral.
AUGAGAAAAGGAAGAGUAACUUUACAGCAUAAAGGGAGAAGGUUUCUCAUGAGAGAAGCUCACAGAAAACUAAAACAACCAUGGGCAAAAUGGCAACUACUCUUUUUCUGGAAAGAAAAAAAAUUAAAAACAGACAUCAAAAAGACGGCAGGAAGGAUGGGAGUGAGGAGAGAUGAGUUCAAGUUGAGCAGAAGAAAAAAGAAAACUACAACAAAACAUUCAGAACUAAGCAUGACAUUUCUGCUACUAGUCACGGAUGUGGCCUCUUCUUCCACAACAGGUUUCACAGCAGCAGAAAAAGUGGCCGUUCUGUGA